AAUGGGGGAAACCCUGAUCCAGCCAUGCCGCGUGUGUGAAGAAGGCCUUUUGGUUGUAAAGCACUUUAAGCAGUGAAGAAGACUCCAUGGUUAAUACCCACGGACGAUGACAUUAGCUGCAGAAUAGACC
RNAcentral lists this ribosomal RNA (130 nucleotides) under uncultured Psychrobacter sp. RNAcentral describes it as "partial 16S ribosomal RNA". It matches the Rfam family "Bacterial small subunit ribosomal RNA", at positions 370 to 492 of the family's 1533-position model. Lineage: Bacteria; Pseudomonadati; Pseudomonadota; Gammaproteobacteria; Moraxellales; Moraxellaceae. The record is from RNAcentral.